GAAUGUCUUCAGGGCGGGGUGGAAGUCCCCACCGGCGGUAGGCGCGGCGACGCGCGAGCCCGCGAGCGCUGCCGGCGGCGUGCGAGAUCCUCGCAUCGGCCCUGGCAGGUCAGCAGACCCGGUCGAAGUCCGGGGCCGACGGUCACAGUCCGGAUGCGAGAAGACGACG
This 169-nucleotide non-coding RNA is filed under the name Luteimonas sp. FCS-9. RNAcentral describes it as "FMN riboswitch aptamer (RFN element)". It matches the Rfam family "FMN riboswitch aptamer (RFN element)". From Rfam's summary of the family: The RFN element is a highly conserved domain that is found frequently in the 5'-untranslated regions of prokaryotic mRNAs that encode for flavin mononucleotide (FMN) biosynthesis and transport proteins. This element is a metabolite-dependent riboswitch that directly binds FMN in the absence of proteins. RNAcentral also lists the same sequence under 1 other name. The record is from Rfam by way of RNAcentral. Lineage: Bacteria; Pseudomonadati; Pseudomonadota; Gammaproteobacteria; Lysobacterales; Lysobacteraceae.